RNAcentral lists this ribosomal RNA (396 nucleotides) under uncultured bacterium. Its description in RNAcentral is "partial 16S ribosomal RNA". It matches the Rfam family "Bacterial small subunit ribosomal RNA", at positions 523 to 918 of the family's 1533-position model. The record is from RNAcentral.
AUACGUAGGUGACAAGCGUUAUCCGGAUUUACUGGGCGUAAAGGGCGUGUAGGCGGUCUUGCAAGUCAGAAGUCAAAUUCCUGAGCUCAACUCGGGCGCUGCUUCUGAAACUGCAGGACUUGAGUGCUGGAGGGGAUAGCGGAAUUCCUAGUGGAGCGGUAAAAUGCGCAGAUAUUAGGAGGAACACCGGUGGCGAAGGCGGCUUACUGGGCUUUUACUGACGCUGAGGCUCGAAAGCGUGGGGAGCAAACAGGAUUAGAUACCCUGGUAGUCCACGCUGUAAACGAUGAUUACUAGGUGUGGGGGGACUGACCCCUUCCGUGCCGCAGUUAACACAAUAAGUAAUCCACCUGGGGAGUACGGCCGCAAGGUUGAAACUCAAAUGAAUUGACGGGG